UUAUUUUUAAAUAGUAUAGAUUUAUGAUAAGAAAAAAAUAUUUUGUUAGUAUUAUAUAGUUUGUUUAGUAUUAUUUUUAUGUUUUGUUUUAAAAGUUAUUUUGUUUAUUGUGGUUUCUUAGUAAAUUUUGUAUUUAGAUUAAUUAUGUGUUUAUUGUGAAUGUUAUGUUUUAAAUUUUUUUAAUAUAUUUGAAAGUUUUUAUGUUAGUAAAACUAUUAUAAAGUAAUUGUUAAUUAGUGAUAACAACUGAAAAUAUUUCUGUUAUACAUAUUGUUAGAAAUGGCAACAUAUUUGGUAUUACCUGAUGAGAUAAUAACUU
This 319-nucleotide long non-coding RNA is filed under the name Gossypium barbadense (sea-island cotton). RNAcentral's name for it is "long non-coding RNA (GBAR_LNC005147)". The record is from RNAcentral. Lineage: Eukaryota; Viridiplantae; Streptophyta; Magnoliopsida; Malvales; Malvaceae.